UACGGAGGGUGCAAGCGUUGCUCGGAAUUAUUGGGCGUAAAGGGUAGGUAGGUGGUCUCAUUUGUCUGGGGUGAAAGCCUUGAGCUUAACUCAAGAAGUGCCCCAGAAACGGUGAGACUAGAGUCCUGGAGAGGGUCGUGGAAUUCCCGGUGUAGCGGUGAAAUGCGUAGAGAUCGGGAGGAACACCAGUGGCGAAGGCGGCUCACUGGCCCGGUACUGACGCUGAGGCACGAAAGCGUGGGGAGCAAACAGG
RNAcentral lists this ribosomal RNA (253 nucleotides) under uncultured bacterium. RNAcentral's name for it is "partial 16S ribosomal RNA". It matches the Rfam family "Bacterial small subunit ribosomal RNA", at positions 524 to 776 of the family's 1533-position model. The record is from RNAcentral.